Molecule: long non-coding RNA, 265 nt
Organism: Pan paniscus (pygmy chimpanzee)
Lineage: Eukaryota; Metazoa; Chordata; Mammalia; Primates; Hominidae
Source: Ensembl
UUAAAACAACAAUGAUUAAUUUAUACAGCUCUUAGUAUCUUUUGAUUUUCUCAAGAUUUAAGCAGAAAACUAUAAAACUUAAGAUUAUAUCAAUUGCUUUUUUAGGGAUUAUUUUAAGUAUUUAUAGAAGAUGAUGCCUGUGAAAACAUGAAAAAUAUGCUGAAUAAUUGAGGCAACUGUCCAGAUGUUGAGAUCUUCAAGUGCAAUUUCUCUCAAUCUGAAGUCUUUGAACUAUUCCACAAUGAUGUGUCAUGUAUAUGAGGAG